GACGAACGCUGGCGGCGUGCUUAACACAUGCAAGUCGAACGGAAAGGCCCUGCUUUUGUGGGGUGCUCGAGUGGCGAACGGGUGAGUAACACGUGAGUAACCUGCCCUUGACUUUGGGAUAACUUCAGGAAACUGGGGCUAAUACCGGAUAGGAGCUCCUGCUGCAUGGUGGGGGUUGGAAAGUUUCGGCGGUUGGGGAUGGACUCGCGGCUUAUCAGCUUGUUGGUGGGGUAGUGGCUUACCAAGGCUUUGACGGGUAGCCGGCCUGAGAGGGUGACCGGCAAAAUUGGGACUGAGAUACGGCCCAGACUCCUACGGGAGGCAGCAGUGGGGAAUAUUGCACAAGGGGCGGAAGCCUGAUGCAGCAACGCCGCGGGCGGGAUGACGGCCUUCGGGUUGUAAACCGCUUUCGCCUGUGACGAGGCGUGAGUGACGGUAAUGGGUAAAGAAGCACCGGCUAACUACGUG
RNAcentral lists this ribosomal RNA (468 nucleotides) under uncultured bacterium. RNAcentral describes it as "partial 16S ribosomal RNA". It matches the Rfam family "Bacterial small subunit ribosomal RNA", at positions 28 to 507 of the family's 1533-position model. The record is from RNAcentral.